UGGAAGAUGUGUGUUUUUCUGAUGAGCUAAGUGUUGAUUCUAACCCAAAAAGGCUGAAAGUGUGAGGUUAGCUAAGUGUCGGGUGGAUAUUCAAGACUGCAGCGUGGGGACCGAAGUGGGCAGGAAGAUCACUGGCUGUGGCUGCAAAGUAAAGUUCACCCUCAGUUAUCCUCAGUGCAAUUGGCCACGGAAGUGAAUGAGUUUCCUUCCAGAAGGCCUCUGUUAACUUCAGGCCUGACUUGCAGGGGCGGAUGCUUCAGGCAAGGCGAGGGAUCACGGAUGAAGUCUACAGGCGUUGCUUGAACUGUGUCAAGUGGCCCCUGUCCAGGCCAGAAGUUAAGUUGGAAGAUGGUUAUCAAAUCUGGUACAGCUAUUUUUUGCUGAGCUGAGCAGAAAAGAGGGAUAUUUCUCUGUGGAUUUGGCUCAUGGUUCCACAAUGCUGUCUUUCAUCUGCAUCUUCCUAUGGGCUCAAGGGAAAAACAAAUCUUGCAGCACAAAGGAGCUGUCCUGGAGAGCUGACUUCAUUCGCCCGUGCCCCUGCAGAGCCUUCCACCUACGCUUUCCUACUUGGCCCUUUCCAGCAAUUCAGACAAGCACCCUCAUAAAGUGGUUGGGGCUGCCUGUAGGUUGUAGUUAAAAAUUUCCAGCAGAUUGAUUGCACAUCCUAUGAUAAACAACGGCCUCCUGUGAUAUCUUACAUUUGCAAGCGAGCGUGUGCAUGUGCGUGGAAAAAUAGCCUGGUUGUGCUGAGCAACGUUGCCAUGACCACCCAGGGCCACUUCUGCAGAAUUCUCUUUCCUGUGGCCGUCCCCGUUCAGGUCAGUGGAUAAACGACGCAUCAGGACAGCAUCUGGCCAGGUUGCUUUGCUGCGGAGCUUAAUGUGCAACUAGUGUUUUCCUCCUGUGUCAGCAGUGAGCCGCACAGUCUGGGAGUGCAGGAAGGGAAAAAAAGCUUAUAAUAAAGACACAAAUCUUCCCCCAUUUAAAGUUGAUUAAUUCUAUGGCUGAAGAACUUUCAGAUACAGAGUCCCAACUGUGCUGGUGCCCUGGAUGCCACAGAUCUGAGAAGCAAUGACAGAAGCACGUACUGGUAGCCCGUAUGUGUGUGCAUGCACGAAUAUGUGUACUUCAUGGCACUUGGUACAAACAGUGCUCUGAAGAGAUCCACCUGCUGGGACCCAGGUCGAUCACUCAGGAUGUGACUCUUCUGUUUUCUGUCUGUUAACAGAAAGUCCUUUUGGGGAAGAAUGAAUGGAGGCGAGGAAUGAAUACAUGAAGUAGCAUCCCAUUGAAGAGUUGCGAGAACUCAAAUAUUAUUUUGAGUAGACUAAAAACAAAGGUUCUGAAUGACUGUCUACAUCAUCUAAGCUAAAGACAGGUCUACCCUGAACUGUUUGUGACAGUUCUCAGAGUAUUGGAUUACAGGGGUCUCAGCCCACUGAUGUGAAAGCCACCUCAAAGGAGAGUAGGAUGCUGUCACCCCCACUCUGCUGGCACAAACACAGGAGCAGAGGACCUUGAGGAGGAAGUCCUGCCUGAAGGAGGACUGUGAUUGGAGGAACAGUGUGGACUGCUGGAGUCACGCUUUGAGAUCAUGCCCCAACCCCUGGGACCUGAUAUGCGUGGGACACUUCCUUCCCCCCAGUGGGAGCUGGAAUAGCUCUGAGUCAGCAUCCUGACUCUUGGCUCUUUUUACAUGAAACUGUGUGGAAGGAGCGAGCAGGUAGGCAUAGCAGCAGACUCUGGCCUGGAGCCACUAUAGUCUCAUGUACUGUGGGGGUCAGGCUAGAGAGUCAUGCUAUGUGAGAACAUGAGACAUCAAUCACCCGGCAAGACACUAGGGAAGAACCAUUUGCUAGACACCCAAAGAGCUGUGGGAACCCCCAAUCUAGCACCUGGGAAUGUAGUGUAUUAAAGGUUGGCUCUUACCAAUCUCCUGAGUUUUCAGUUUCGCCCGUCCCUGUUCAAGCAGGAGGACAGUCUCAGCCCAAUUGUAACGAAGUGCUGGGGACCUCGAAGUGCGAAGAAAAGACAUUAUUUCCCACAGUUUCGGAAACUAAACAUCUAAGGACCAGUGUGUCAGCACAGAUUAGUUCUGUGAGGGCCUCUUCUAUAUGGUAACCUGUCUAGCUGUGGCCCCACGUGGCGGAAAUGGAGUGGGCUCCUCCCCAUUUCCUCUCUUCCAGGACUCCUUUCGUAAGGACACUCACCUCAUUUAUUAGGGCCUCACCCUCAUGAUCUGAUCAUGCCCAAAGGCCUCAUCUUCCUCCCAUCACCUUGGGGGUUUGAUUCUCAAUACAGGCAUUUGGAAGACACUCUCAAAUUCAACCCACAGCAGAAGGGACACCAAUGGUCACAUCUGGGAGACACAUCUCUGCCACAUCACUCGUUUCACAGAAACUGGCUGCUGAGCUGAGUGACUGUCUAGGACUAUCCUGUUCAUCUUGAGACAAUGCUGACCACUGCCAACACAGGAGGCUUUCACGGUCCAGGGGAAGGUGAUGCUGUUUCUGAUGGAAGUUUUGAUAUAAGAGAACCUGGCUUCAGGCACUUCCGGGCCUUGAGGGUUUGUCUGCUGAGGAUGCGUGGGUGGCAGUACCCGGGACACAGACUAGGACACCGCCCAAGUCUGCAGACCUGACAUAAUGGGAGGGAAGCCUUUUCCAGAGCUGGCACCAUCUUCUUCAACUUGCAACACUGUGUGAAAUAAACUUUUUCUUUUUUAAAAAAUAAA
This is a non-coding RNA of Peromyscus maniculatus bairdii (prairie deer mouse), 2734 nucleotides long. The record is from RefSeq and is a predicted model, not a curated record. Lineage: Eukaryota; Metazoa; Chordata; Mammalia; Rodentia; Cricetidae.